Schistocerca cancellata (South American locust) is the source of this 2340-nucleotide RNA transcript. It is a transcript of the gene named N(6)-adenine-specific methyltransferase METTL4, with no coding region annotated. The transcript has 6 exons. The record is from RefSeq and is a predicted model, not a curated record. NCBI's taxonomy places the organism in Eukaryota, Metazoa, Arthropoda, Insecta, Orthoptera, Acrididae.
AUGCCGGUAGUUUUGAAUCGUAUCAAUAGUAAACAAUUAUUUUUAGUAUGUUUAUUUUCAUGUCGUAAUUGGAAUGGUUGUUGUCACACAUAUUUAUAAAAAUACGUUAAAAUGAGUGUUGUGUUUCAAGACAACAUCGGUUGGGUUUUAUCUCACGACAUGUUCGUGAAAAGUAUUUAUGGUGAAGUCUAUGACAAUAACGUUACGUAUAGGUUAGAGUUCGACCCAGCGCUGUUUAAGAUCGAAACUCCAUUUAUAAAUAAAGCACCUAUCGACUCAGAUAAUUCGUUGGCCUCAGAUAAUUCCGGUAAUUUGUGGUUUUCACCCAAGAAGAAAAGAAGAACUAACCGAAACGGCGCCGAAAGUACGAAUAACAGUGCACAGCAAGUAGUUAAUCUUGUGGCAAACAAAUCAUCAGCUUUACUUAAUAAUGCAAAGAAACAGGGUGUGUUCAACUGUGAGCCAUCAUCAUCAGAUAACUUAAGAAGAAACGAAGAUGCUAGAAACCUAUCAGUUACAUUUUACAAAGAAAACUCUGAUGAACAAAAUAAGACAUUUCAUGGAGCCAACAAUCAGGAGUUCCCCAUAAUAGUGUCACACGGAGAGAAAAAGUAUGUUUUCCCGCCAAGGUGUAUGUUCUUUAAUAAUGAUAUCAGCAACUUGAACCAGAAAUUGGAUGUCCUUGGGAAGUUCGAUCUGCUGCUCUUGGAUCCACCUUGGUGGAAUAAAUAUAUACGAAGGAAGAAACAAAAGUCUCGUGAAUCAAGUUACAGUAUGAUGUAUGAUGAGGACCUGUUAAAAUUGCCGGUUGCAUCCUUAAUAGCUCCUGGUGCACUUGUUGCAGUAUGGUGCACAAAUUCUGAAACACACAUAAAUACAAUGAAAAAUAAAAUAUUUCCUUCUUGGGGAAUUGAGUGUGUCAGCAAAUGGUACUGGCUGAAGGUCACUCGAAGUGGUAUACCAGUUUGCAAUUUCUCUGAACCUCCUAAUAAGCAGCCAUUUGAGCAAAUACUCUUUGCACAUCAACUGUGUACACCAAGAAGUUUUCCAUUACCAGAAGAUGGAAAAAUAGUUAUUAGCGUCCCAAGUGCUAUUCAUUCACACAAACCUCCUUUGACAGAUGCUUAAAAGCAAAUGUGGAGCCAGUGCACAGGCCGUUUAUAGUCCACAAGUGUACUGGUCCCACUUGCUGAAGUUCGUGGACCAGGCCACAGUGGUAGAUGAAAGUGUCUCUCAUUUAGAGGACAUGGAAAGCGGCAGUGAACGUGGAACCCCACAUUUGAAGAAAUUUUUGAGCAUGAAGUAGAGGCACAGUAUUCAUCACAAGAAGAGACUGAUGUCACCUGCAGUGAGCCACAGCCCCAGCAGCAUGAACGGCUUCCCACAAAGAGAAGAAAAGUGACAACAGACAUUCUUUUGGAGGCCACCAAAAUGUUGAAGCCUGUGACUGAUAUUUGCAAAAACCAGUCCCAGCCUGCCCGGUCCGCCUGCGGGUCCGGGGGUAAGAACAGGCCAGAGGUAUUCCUGACUGUUGUAAGAGGCGACUAAAAGGAGUCUCACACGUUUCGGCCUUUAUGUGAUGGUCCCCUUUAGGGUUUGACCUCCAUUUUUCCAAAGAGCAAGGCAAUUGGGGAAGGGCGCCUUACAUGGUGCAUUGUAUCCAUCGUGCAUUGAGAUCUUUCGCCCACUUUCUUGUCGAGGCAUUGCAGUUCCGCUCAUCCUCCAUCUCUUGGGCAAAGACACCUUCCUGGUUGCGUUUUCCUCCACCCACUAUGCAGUGUCAUUUUCUGCGCCGACGAUGACCAAGGAAUUCUUAGUACCUCCAGCAUGGCAGCCAGUCUGUUGUGGUGGGGCCGCCAUGUACCCUGUUGGUUGUAGCCCCCAGACUACACAGGGGUUGCUCUGCUGAUGCCUGCGCCGUUAACUCCCCACGUAUGCCAAGGAGUAGAUGCCUGUCACCCUGGGGUAUUGGGAGUCCUGGCAAUGGACAUCGUGCCAGGUGGCCUUUGCUGCAGCUGGGUGGCGACCGUGGGGAUGGCCCCUGUUCAGAGUGGGUGUCAUCAGGGCGGAUGAUACGCCAUGAAGUGUAGUACGUCAUCUCUCGCUGGUGGUCUGCCACCAGCAGUCUCUAAGUGGGCAAAGUCUAAGUCAGUGAAGUCUCAGUUUUUUGUGGAGCAUUUAGAGGACAAUUUUGAGGAGGUGAGGGAUUGUCCAAAAUGUGAUCUUGAGCAAAACAGCCUCCUCUGCCCAGUUAAGGGCACCACUCUCCUAUGACAAGCUGGAGCAUGUUUCUGUUUCCAUCACGCCCCAUAAGAGCUUAAAUGUGGUCCAGGGUAUUUC